GGGCCCCAGCUGCAAACUCAGCUGUCUGGCUUUCACUGUUCACCCCAAGCUUGGGAAGAAGCUACAUGGCCAAGGGUCGUAGGCUCUGCCAACCAAAGCCCAAGGUUUAAACCAAGACAGAGGCCAAAGCUCCAACCCAGGCUCCCAAGGGUGCCAGGCCCCUGUGAAGGACCCAUAGAAAAGGUUCCUGCCAUUGUUAAGACAGACGGACUGCUGUGACACACCCACCUACACACUAUUUGCAGAUGACCUGUGUCCUAUGCUGUUUUUACAAAUAAACUUGAGACAAGGAGAAAAA
RNAcentral lists this long non-coding RNA (298 nucleotides) under Rattus norvegicus (Norway rat). Its description in RNAcentral is "long non-coding RNA NONRATT016963". Lineage: Eukaryota; Metazoa; Chordata; Mammalia; Rodentia; Muridae. The record is from RNAcentral.